AGUGCAUAAACAGUAGCGUGUACGCCGGUAGGUGCGACGCCAGACGUCUCUGUUGUUUUAACAAACGUUUUUGGAAACUAUACUCAGGCCAAAAAAGCAGGAGGGAAAUCAUUAUGGCCAGAAGAAAACACUCGUUGGCAAAGAGGCCGCUGGCAUCUGUGGUAUGACGUGAACAUCCUAGCUACUGAAUAGUGGUUACGGGCAGAUGAGAAAUAAUCAGAUGAGAAAUAAUCAGAGUGACUUGAACCGAAUAAGGUGAGCGGAACGAUUAACUGCAUUAUAAAACAGAAAAAAGCGACAAGCCUCGUGAUCAGCGUCACGCACGCAUGACUCGCACCUCAGGUCCUGGAUGGAUUCUCUGGAGACCAAACUCCAGUCUUAAUUAAUUCCGAUUCCCAGCGACAGCGAAGAUCCGUCCUUCCAGAGCGGAGAGGCGAGCCCGCCUUACCACCGAAGUAAAUGUUGCAGCGGCAGCGAAGGCUUCCAGGACCCCGCAUUUAGGCCUGGACCCGCCGCCGGCCUCCCGACCAUGAACCGCAUCCGCAUUACGGCCAACGGCGUCUCUACGUCAUUGCUUCGCGGCGUCGUAUUGGUAACCGUGGUGACCAUCUUGAUCGUCGUGGCCUUCUUCGGCUACUCCUUCCUCAAUGACAACCUCCACCGCGGCUUCCUGGGGCGGCAAGUGCACCACCCGCGCCAGAAGGUGCACCACGCCAUGGCCAACGUGAAGAACGCCAACGCCGUCCCCGACCAAGCGAAAUCUCACGUAGGAAACAUUUACAUUGACAACAUUCAUCACGACGAUGAGGACUACUAUGAAGACGAAUAUGACUAUGAGGAGGAUGAAGAUGAUGAUGAGGAAGAUGAUGAUGAUGAUGAUGACGAUGAUGAUGACGACGAUGACGAUGAUGAUGAUGAUGAUGAUGAUGAUGACUAUUACGGUGAGGAUUAUGAUAGACAUGCGUUGAGAUAGUGGGCCAUCUGCAUACAAAAAUGAAAAUCGAUUAUCAUGUGUCCGAGAUGUCAAGCUAUACUGGCGAAACCUAAGUAAACCAGGCGCCAGGCAGUAAGCUUCGUUCUCACACCUCUUACAAACUGGAGAGCCUUCCAAUGGAAUCAACAGACAAGACUCGCCAUUUUAGUGAUAUAGACUUUAAUGUCAUAGCCAAACAGCUGAAGUCUGAAACACUGUUAUCUGUAAUUUUGCGUGUGUUUGUGAGUUUAUGCGUGUGCGCGCGUGUGUGUGACUGUGUGCGUCAUUCUUCCUUUCAAGCAAAGUUUUCGCAAAUUUAUGUAUAAUGAUACUGUGUGCUUUAUGUGAUUUAUUUCAAUCGUGUGGAUAUGUGAUAGGUACAAUGUUGAUAAAUAAAAUGUAAGUUGAUACA
Molecule: RNA transcript, 1385 nt
Organism: Penaeus indicus
Lineage: Eukaryota; Metazoa; Arthropoda; Malacostraca; Decapoda; Penaeidae
Gene name: calsequestrin-1-like
Exons: 2
Source: RefSeq, a predicted model, not a curated record